CAUGGCCCACCCAGCUCCAAGCAAUGCUGGAGCCCAAACAGGGCGUUAAGUAAUCAACUUGAAGAUGUUUGCACUGCUUGGGGUCUUUGGUUUGCAAAGAUUGGGGUCAGAAGCUUUCUCUCUUUUAUACUUUAAUAAAACUAUAUUACACAAAAGCUCUGAGCGAUCAAGCUUCGUCACUGGCCCCAGAUUGAAUUCUUCUCCUCUGGAGGCAAGAAUCCCAGUGUCUUCCGUGGUUCAGCAACAAACUUUCAUCUUGGGGGCUCAUCCGGGAUUCUUCAGGACAAGGGUAAGCCAAGGGAAGAAUGUUCUAACAGAGGUUCUGAGGAAGUCAUGUUUCCAGAAUGUGCCCAGAAUGCUGGCAAUCUGCUACCAGAUCACCGAGCAUCGCUGCCUACAUGAACGAAUGGAAUGGGACGCAGACGCUCCUCCAAAGGCACAGCCACGGGCAAGCCACAAGGCAAGUGACAUUGUUGGAAAUGGAGAAAUGCAUGAAAGAAUUUUCCUUGCAGUCUACAUUCACACAUACACUUCUCUUGGAUUAAAGAGAAAUUUAUUGAACAUCACCAUAUGGAAUGUUUUCAAAGAGCAGAUUUCUUUUCUCAGGCAGACUUCCCAAAGGCAGGAGUGAACGAAACACAAAGAUGGGUGUUGUUGAGAACAUCUGAAACGGGAUCACGCGGAGCUAUUCGCAUCUCACUACCAAGCCUCAGGACCCAGGUCUUGGCUUGGUCUUCUGUACAUUCUGAGCCUCAAGGCCUACCAUCCUCAGCUCAGGAUACCCAUCUCACUUGGAACCAGGUGACUUGUUACUUGAGUUUUAAAAGGAACUGCUUGGGAUGAAUAACUUCUGACUUAAGAAUAAACUCUAAAUCCCCUGAAACUAAGUCUCCUAACUCCCCAAAACAAUGGCCUUCUGUCAUCCAUUUCCCUAACUGCUUGGAUCAUGAGGUCAACAACAAGUAGCAAGAGGAAAAAUCAGCUCCUAAACUGAUGGUUCUUUAGGCUAAGGUUUUCUUUUGGCUGCUAAGGUUAUAAUUUCCUGUGUUUUCCAUUUUCACAAUUCAAAUGGAGAAAGAGCAAUAUUUUAUCAACUGACAUUCAAUCAAGACAACUCGAUGGGUCAAAGAAGAAAAAGCAUCAAGUUACCCAGGUGUAUAAAGCGCUUCUACGCAAUGCUUUACAAGACUUAGCUCUCCCUGAUGACUUGCUCAGUGUCUGCCAUUGGUGACCAUAGGACUGUGGACAUGAGCCUCCACCAGAAACGGAUGAUCUUUGGGGAAUGUAGUUCUGAGUAAAACUCACUUUCCAGCAUAUCUGGAAAGGGACAGAAGUGUUGCAAGGACACAAAAGUGUUGAUGUUUUAAUGAAAGAUAGUCGAGAUCAUAAGAAUAAUCAAUCACUGAUAACGUCCAAGAGACAAUCACGUACGGACAGGGAGGACCAGGCACUCGGUCCUCUCCCUGACUUUACAAGGCGGGUGUCCGUAUCCCCGGGGACAGCAGAAGCGACAGGCUGUGCCAGGUCUCACAGCCAUGUGGGGUGAGGCCAGGCUGGCCCCGGGUCCCUAGACCUCAGAGCCCUAGACCCUGAACCACUGCACCACGCUCUCUCGUUCACUGAAAGAACCGUGGACACACCUCACGUGCCAAGAGCAGGGGUGCCAACUGUUAUUCUUUUCCAUCAAUCUGCCAGAUAAGGGAAACAUGAGGGGUCAGGCAGAUCUCAGGAGAUGGAGGCCACAGACUGUCGAUAGAAAAUCACUAUGGAUGAUGAGUGCAUUCAGCACUCCAAAAGGACACGGGUGACCUGCAGUUAAACCUGCAAAUUCCAUCUUUCACUCCCUUAUUUACAGAAUACCAAAGAAAAGAACAUCCAGUUAUUCACUUCUGAAAGCAAUUUUUGGAAGAGUGAGGAAGGGCUCCAACUAGGUCAGCUAAUUAUUCAACUUGUUUCCUUUGUUUUCAAAAUGGGGGGUCACCUUCUCCUCCGGAGGGCUCAAGGUUUAGAACACAGACACCUCAGGAUCAGUGUCGGCCUGCUGUGGUUAACACGGCAGUCUUUGAGCUCAUUCUUAGCAGUGACACAAACUAACCCUGCCAAGAAAAUGGCCAGGAAAUGGAAAGUAUGGAGACGGGGAGGUGUGAGCUAGUCCCCGCUCUGACCCUGUCAUGUACUGGACCUCUGCUGAAAUGAGGGACGCGUGAUGGGAAGAACAUCUGGCUAUCAGGCAAGAGACUCAAACUCAAGCCCCGAUUUCCUCACCAAGUGACUGAGUGAUGUUAGAGCAUUUCCAUGUUCUAGGCAGUUUUCUGUAAAGCUGAGGGAUUAAUCAGUGGUUCUCAAGUUGUGAUGAGGAUCAAGAUCACCUGGCAAGUUUGCUAACCGUUCCAGACACAGGCCUAAGAAUUCUUGGUUCAGGUGGCCCAAGAAUCUGCAUUUCAAGGCAUCCUGGGGACUCUGAUGCUGCUGGGUCCUCCUCAAGGUAGAGCCACGGCGGCUGCCGAAACAGCGGGCCAGUGACCUCAGGGACUGUCUGCUCAACAGCUUCCCCACGGGUUGGCUGGACACAAGCUGAAGAGACAAGACAGGUGGCAGGCCACCAGGGCCCUGGAACACCACAUGCCCAUGAGGUUCACACCUCGGAUGGGUUCUCCUGAAGCCAGGACCCCCCUCCCACUUUCCAGGGUGGCGGCCCAUCUAUAACGUCCCUGCGGAGUCACAAAUCCCCCCAUACUACCCUGAACUGCUGAAAAGUGAAAGUAAAGUCACUCAAUCAUGUCCAACUCUUUGUGACCCCCUGGACUGUAGCCUACCAGGCUCCUCCAUCCAUGGGAUUUUCCAGGCUAGAGUACUGGAGUGGGUUGCCAUUGCCUUCUCCAGGAGAUCUUCCCUACCCAGGGAUCGAACCCGGGUCUCCCACAUUGCAGACAGAUGAUUUACCAGGGAAGUCUAAGAGAAUACAAUCAAUUACAGUUCUCUCUGAUUCCAAGUACAUGGGGCAAAGCAAACCCUGAGAUGUGACUCAAUCAACCAAUGAACCAUAAAGGAAGUGACGACUUCCCUGAAGAAACCCAACUUCUGUAGAAAAAAUGGAAGUUAUCUAUAAGAUCCAAACACAAAGACAGGGAUAUCAAUGAGGAGGAAAGAAGCGGGGGGAGCAGAGCACAGUGGUUGGAACCCCCAGGCUAGUCAGCAGUUAUCCUGGGCUCCAACCUCACCUGCAUUGUCCGUCAACCACAGACAAACCACCAAGCCACUCCACUCACUCACCUCCAACCUAGGAACAACGGCGGUAUUUUAGAGGAAGACAGAUUAAAUAAUAAACAUUCUGAGAAUAGUGCCUGACACAGUGGAGGAAGUUCUUUAAAUGAAACUACAAAGAAAUCCAUUUUAUCAUUUGUCAGUGAGGACUUGAAAGGUAAUACCCCAGAAAUGGCAUAAAUAUAAGAAACCAGGCAAAAAGGAAGAAAUAAUUCCCAAGGUUCCUGCUCUUAGAAUUUUUCAGAAUACUGCCAUGUCCAUUGCUUCAAAUUAAUUUGGGCUGCCUGGAAACUUCUGAACUUCCGAGAUCUAUUUCUCAGAUCUCUAAUCAAUAAUUUUCAGACACUACAAACUUAUCUGUUUCUAUCUCAGUAUUUAAUAUAUAUUUUGUCCCCAUGCUUCCAGCUUAAAUAACAUUAUAUGGUUUAUCUUAUUAAUGAUAGCAAUUUGCUAACAGCACUUAAUAAAAGUUUUUUUUCCUGUUAACCAUAAUUUAAUUAGAAAUUUUUCCUAAAUAAAUGGAGUGUGUAUGCAGAAGGAAGUGGCAACCCACUCCAGUAUUCUUGCCUGGAGAAUUCCCAUGGACAGAGGAGCCUGGGAGGUUACAAUCCAUUGGGUCGCAAGAGUCGGACAUGAUCAAAUCACAUACAUGUGAGGUAUAUGUGUGUAUACAAACAGAGAUGUGUAUAUACACACAUACAUAUAUGUAUUUCUGGUUUUUUUCUUUUCUUGGACAAGAUUUUCUCUUCUUAAUUUCAAAAGUGUCAGGAAGACUGAUGAAAGUGAUUACAUCUGAAGUUCUUUUUUUUUUUUUCCCCUGCAUGUGGCUUGCAGGAUCUUAGUUCCCCAACCAGGAACUAAACCCAGGCCACAGUGGUUGGAAGUGCCAAGUCCUAACUGGUGGACCCCUAGGGAACUCCUGACCUUAAGUUCUGAGUUCAGAGCUACAUGUUGCUCACGAGUUAUGACAGCGUUGGCCCUAUUAGAUUUUUCACAUUCUUUUUCUUCAUGAUGUUCUGAGCUGAGACAGAAUUUGAAUCCAGGUGUAAAUGGCCAUACAUUCCACUUCUUCUUUUUUUUUUUAACUAUACAGCAUUUCAGAAGUUGAAAGGUGAAAAUAAUAAAAUAUAACACAUUUAUAAAUCAUAUGGAAAGGAGUUAAUAUCACUAAAAAUUGCAAAAAGAAGCUACUCACCAAACUAAACACAUUUACUACAAAUAUCCCCUCAGUGAUGUGUAUGUUUUGAAAAAUAAGGAUUUGUAU
Molecule: long non-coding RNA, 4528 nt
Organism: Dama dama (fallow deer)
Lineage: Eukaryota; Metazoa; Chordata; Mammalia; Artiodactyla; Cervidae
Exons: 2
Source: RefSeq, a predicted model, not a curated record